CUACAAAUAGUUCAAUCAUUCCGUAGCAUUCAAACGGAAUUAAACCAGUGAAAAUGAUUAAGAAAAUCAGUUUGAUUUCGGUGGUAGUACUGUUGUUAUCGAUGUACACCGCUGUUUAUGCAAAUGGCAACUGCAACAUGGCCGCAGUAAGUCCACCAAACAAUGCACUACCAUCAACUUGUAUGGCCACCGUUGCAGGAUGCCAAUGGUUGAAUGGUAGUAUGGAACCAAACGGAAAAUGUGCCGAAGCUGGAUACAUAUGUUGUGUCUUCCGUUGUGAAAGUGACGAUGAGUGUUAAUGUCAAUUAAGUUCAUAAUUUUUGCAGACGAAUAAAUGUCAAUUUCAAAUUUGUGUUCACAUUA
Long non-coding RNA from Bradysia coprophila, 363 nucleotides. RefSeq lists it as uncharacterized. The record is from RefSeq and is a predicted model, not a curated record. NCBI's taxonomy places the organism in Eukaryota, Metazoa, Arthropoda, Insecta, Diptera, Sciaridae.